RNAcentral lists this ribosomal RNA (429 nucleotides) under uncultured bacterium. Its description in RNAcentral is "bacterial SSU rRNA". It matches the Rfam family "Bacterial small subunit ribosomal RNA", at positions 355 to 776 of the family's 1533-position model. The record is from RNAcentral.
UGAGGAAUAUUGCGCAAUGGGCGAAAGCCUGACGCAGCGACGCCGCGUGAAGGAUGAAGGUCUUCGGAUUGUAAACUUCUGUUAAGUGGGAAGAAAGAACUGCCAGUAAUAUGGGCAGGUGAUGACGUUACCACCAGAGAAAGCACCGGCUAACUUCGUGCCAGCAGCCGCGGUAAUACGAGGGGUGCAAGCGUUAUUCGGAAUUACUGGGCGUAAAGGGUGCGUAGACGGCUUGCUAAGUUGAUUGUUAAAUACCUCGGCCUAACCGGGGAAAAGUGAUCAAAACUGGCGAGCUAGAGGAUGGAAGAGAGAAGUGGAAUUCUCGGAGUAGCGGUAAAAUGCGUAGAUCUCGAGAGGAACACCGAUGGCGAAGGCAGCUUCUUGGUCCAUAUCUGACGUUGAAGCACGAAAGCGUGGGGAGCAAACAGG